Molecule: RNA transcript, 989 nt
Organism: Gadus morhua (Atlantic cod)
Lineage: Eukaryota; Metazoa; Chordata; Actinopteri; Gadiformes; Gadidae
Gene: emc6
Gene name: ER membrane protein complex subunit 6
Exons: 3
Source: RefSeq, a predicted model, not a curated record
UGUAUUCCCAAGAUGCAUUGCGAAGAAGGACCAUGGCUGACAAGUCCUUAGCACUGUCUUUUUUUCAGCUAGCGUUAACCAGUUGUUUCUCCAAGGUUUAAUACACGUAAUCGCUCCCUAUCCUUACAUAAAGAAACGUCUUCAAAUGAUCAUCCUGUGAAAGCUUCCACUGAAGUUAAGUCGUCGUCGUGACGUCCAGUUGAAUUUGUGUCAGCAAUACAUUUCUGAAGAGAAUUUGGAGAUCUGCGAUGGCGUCAAUUGUGGCCAAGCGCGAAGGACCGCAGUUCAUCAGUGAAAUUGCCGUGAGGGGCAACGCUGCCGUACUGGACUAUUGUAGGACGUCUGUAUCUGCUCUGUCCGGAGCGACAGCGGGAAUCCUCGGACUGACGGGACUAUACGGGUUCAUCUUCUACUUCCUAGCCUCGUUUCUCCUCUCCUUGCUGCUCAUCCUGAAGGCAGGGCGUCGGUGGAACAAGUGCUUCAAAGCCAGACGGUUGCUCUUCACGGGCGGCCUUGUCGGGGGUCUUUUUACUUAUGUCCUAUUUUGGACUUUUCUCUACGGAAUGGUGCAUGUGUACUGAAGUGAGCUGUCCGAGAUAAACGAAAUUAGCUCCCAUUAACAAGUGAGUCUGUCUUGCUGUUUUUAAAUAGACAAAUAAUGACAGACCUAGACCCCCCCCCCCUCUUAUGAACUUUUCGUACAAUGGGACCUAGGUAUCAGUUAGGGAACACAAUAACUGUACUGUCAUUCCCCCUCUGAUCAACUAGGCAGUGAGAGAAUGACUUAACUAAAUUAACCUUUGUCUUGUUUGUAAAACUAUCCCUUGUGGUUAACGGCCCGAGUAGUUGUUAUCCUGUUUGGUUUAAUGCUUAGAUUAUGUCAAUUAAGAUUAUUUGAAUUUCUAAAUGUGUUAAUUAUGUGUUGGCAAGGCUAGUGUUUGCCUACAAUCUGACUGAUUUGUACAAAAAAUAAAUGCCUAAAGUAAUAA